RNAcentral lists this ribosomal RNA (468 nucleotides) under uncultured bacterium. RNAcentral's name for it is "partial 16S ribosomal RNA". It matches the Rfam family "Bacterial small subunit ribosomal RNA", at positions 28 to 507 of the family's 1533-position model. The record is from RNAcentral.
GAUGAACGCUGGCGGCGUGCUUAACACAUGCAAGUCGAACGGUGAAGGCGGAGCUUGCUCUGCUGGAUCAGUGGCGAACGGGUGAGUAACACGUGAGCAAUCUGCCCCUGACUCUGGGAUAAGCGCUGGAAACGGCGUCUAAUACUGGAUACGAGCUGCUAAGGCAUCUUCAGCAGCUGGAAAGAACUUCGGUCAGGGAUGAGCUCGCGGGCUAUCAGCUUGUUGGUGAGGUAACGGCUCACCAAGGCGUCGACGGGUAGCCGGCCUGAGAGGGUGACCGGCCACACUGGGACUGAGACACGGCCCAGACUCCUACGGGAGGCAGCAGUGGGGAAUAUUGCACAAUGGGCGAAAGCCUGAUGCAGCAACGCCGCGUGAGGGACGACGGCCUUCGGGUUGUAAACCUCUUUUAGCAGGGAAGAAGCGAAAGUGACGGUACCUGCAGAAAAAGCGCCGGCUAACUACGUG